UACACGGAGAGUUUGAUUCUGGCUCAGAAUGAACGCUGGCGGCGUGCUUAACACAUGCAAGUCGAACGGGGCCAAUUCUGACGGGGUGGCAACACUCAAUUGGUUUUGGCUUAGUGGCGCACGGGUGAGUAACGCGUGGGUAACCAACCCUUAGGUUUGGAAUAACGUCUCGAAAGAGACGCUAAUACCAAAUAAGACCACGCCAACUACGGUUGAUGGGGUAAAAGAUGGCGCUUUUCGGAAGCUGUCGCCUUAGGACGGGCCCGCGUGACAUUAGAUUGAUGGUGGGGUAACGGCCUACCAUUUUGUCGACGAUGUCUAGCUGGUCUGAGAGGAUGAUCAGCCACACUGGGACUGGAACACGGCCCAGACUCCUACGGGAGGCAGCAGUGAGGAAUUUUUCGCAAUGGGGGAAACCCUGACGGAGCAACGCCGCGUGAGUGAAGAAGGCCUUUUGGUUGUAAAGCUCUGUCGGAGGGCAAGAAACGCGAUGGUAAUAAUACGAUCGUCGCUUGACUUAACCCUUAAAGGAAGCCCCGGCUAACUCCGUGCCAGCAGCCGCGGUAAUACGGAGGGGGCGAGCGUUAUUCGGAAUCAUUGGGUGUAAAGCGCAUGUAGGCGGUAAGGUGUGUCAGGUGUGAAAGCCCGGGGCUUAACUCCGGAAGUGCAUUUGAAACUGCCUUACUUGAGUCUCGGAGAGGAAAGUGGAAUUCCCAGUGUAAAGGUGGAAUUUGUAGAUAUUGGGAGGAACACCGGUGGCGAAAGCGACUUUCUGGACGAAGACUGACGCUCAGAUGCGAAAGCGUGGGUAGCAAACAGGAUUAGAUACCCUGGUAGUCCACGCCGUAAACGAUGGGUACUAG
Molecule: ribosomal RNA, 863 nt
Filed under: Deltaproteobacteria bacterium
Lineage: Bacteria; Pseudomonadati; Myxococcota; Myxococcia
Description: bacterial SSU rRNA
Rfam family: Bacterial small subunit ribosomal RNA
Source: RNAcentral